This is a long non-coding RNA of Meriones unguiculatus (Mongolian gerbil), 529 nucleotides long. RefSeq lists it as uncharacterized. The record is from RefSeq and is a predicted model, not a curated record. NCBI's taxonomy places the organism in Eukaryota, Metazoa, Chordata, Mammalia, Rodentia, Muridae. The transcript has 3 exons.
CUUGGCGGAACACGGAGAGAAACUUGAAACAUACCGUUCAUCCCAAAGGAGUGGGCUUGACUGACUAAGGAGAAGGGCCUGCUCAGUAAUCAGCCUUUCCAGAACAUUCGCAGACACUCCUUCAGACCCUGCUUGUCACAGCUUGGCAGAGCCAUUCCGGUUUCUCUCCUGCUGCCCUAAUUAGCUUGUAGCUCGGCAGCAUCUUCUCAUCGGACACACAAGCCUCGAAGUUGCUUCCCACCACACACAUUUGUUUGCUCCAACAAAUCCAGCUUAUCUCAUUGCUCCUGGCAGUUGGGCUGCUGGGUCUAAUUUCUUCAAGCCAACUUAGAUUCACAUCCUGUUCUUGUGUGGAUUCAAAAGAGCCCCGCAGACCUGCCAAGGCCAUGAAGAAUCUGAAUCCAGUCAGCUACCUUCUGAAUCUGCAGAUGCAGUGUGACCAACUGUUUUAUGUGCUCCUGCUGAAAUGCCCUACCCACCUGGUGGACUGUAUCCUCUCAAACUGGGAGCCAAAAUAAAUUCUUCCCCC